This 433-nucleotide ribosomal RNA is filed under the name uncultured bacterium. RNAcentral describes it as "partial 16S ribosomal RNA". It matches the Rfam family "Bacterial small subunit ribosomal RNA", at positions 28 to 507 of the family's 1533-position model. The record is from RNAcentral.
GACGAACGCUGGCGGCAUGCCUAACACAUGCAAGUCGAACGAGAAGUCCGGGUCUUUGGGCGCACGGCUGCGUCACGCGUGGGAACCUUCACUUGGGUACGGAAUAACUCCCCGAAAGGGGUGCUAAUGCCGGAUAGUGUCUUAUGACCAAAGAUUUAUUGCCCUUGGAUGGGCGCUCGUUGGAUUCGCUAGUUGGUAGGGUAAUAGCCUAGCACGGCGACGAUCCAUAGGUGGUCAGAGAGAAUGAUUAGCCACUCUGGGACUAAGACACGGCCCAGAAUCCUACGCGAGGGAGGAGAGGGUAACAGUGGACCAUGGCGGGAGGGAUGAUCCAGCAAUGCCGGGUAAGUGAUGAUGGCCGUAGGGUACUAAAGUGCUUUUACCCGUGAUGAUAAUGACGGUACCGGGUGAAUAAGCCCCGGCUAACUACGUG